Molecule: ribosomal RNA, 564 nt
Filed under: uncultured Glomeromycotina
Lineage: Eukaryota; Fungi; Glomeromycota
Description: SSU rRNA
Rfam family: Eukaryotic small subunit ribosomal RNA
Source: RNAcentral
UUGGAGGGCAAGUCUGGUGCCAGCAGCCGCGGUAAUUCCAGCUCCAAUAGCGUAUAUUAAAGUUGUUGCAGUUAAAAAGCUCGUAGUUGAAUUUCGGGAUCAAAUUGUCGGUCGUGCCUCGGUACGCACUGGUAUUAUUGGUUCCUACCUUCUGAAGAACCGCGAUGUCAUUAAUUUGGUGUCGUGGGGAAUCAGGACUGUUACUUUGAAAAAAUUAGAGUGUUUAAAGCAGGCUUACGCUUGAAUACAUUAGCAUGGAAUAAUGAAAUAGGACGUCUGAUUCUAUUUUGUUGGUUUCUAGGAUUGACGUAAUGAUUAAUAGGGAUAGUUGGGGGCAUUAGUAUUCAAUUGUCAGAGGUGAAAUUCUUGGAUUUAUUGAAGACUAACUACUGCGAAAGCAUUUGCCAAGGAUGUUUUCAUUAAUCAAGAACGAAAGUUAGGGGAUCGAAGACGAUCAGAUACCGUCGUAGUCUUAACCAUAAACUAUGCCGACUAGGGAUCGGAUGAUGUUAAUUUUUUAAUGACUCUUUCGGCGCCUUACGGGAAACCAAAGUGUUUGGGUUC